CGGGAACCGGGGUGGACGGGCCACUCGCCAACCCGGUCAGGUCCGGAAGGAAGCAGCCGCAACGAAUCCGGUUCGGGUCGCCCCGGUUCCCACCC
RNAcentral lists this signal recognition particle RNA (95 nucleotides) under Sandarakinorhabdus sp. RNAcentral's name for it is "signal recognition particle sRNA small type". It matches the Rfam family "Bacterial small signal recognition particle RNA". From Rfam's summary of the family: The signal recognition particle (SRP) is a universally conserved ribonucleoprotein involved in the co-translational targeting of proteins to membranes. Archaeal SRP consists of a 7S RNA and homologues of the eukaryotic SRP19 and SRP54 proteins. In most bacteria, the SRP consists of a 4.5S RNA and the Ffh protein (a homologue of the eukaryotic SRP54 protein). Lineage: Bacteria; Pseudomonadati; Pseudomonadota; Alphaproteobacteria; Sphingomonadales; Sphingosinicellaceae. The record is from RNAcentral.